AAAUUAAUACCUUACAGGCUGUAGACAGUUGGUGCCAUAUGGCAUAAUGGACAAUAGUCCGCCACCCGAGGCUUGGGAACAGUACAAUCUACUUGUGCCUUCCAGCUUUCGGUGUGCCUGCCGAAAGCUUUUUAUUUGUGCCU
Regulatory RNA element from Thermincola sp., 143 nucleotides. It matches the Rfam family "Ribosomal protein L10 leader". From Rfam's summary of the family: This family is a putative r-protein leader autoregulatory structure found in B. subtilis and other low-GC Gram-positive bacteria. It is located in the 5' untranslated regions of mRNAs encoding ribosomal proteins L10 and L12 (rplJ-rplL). The record is from Rfam. Lineage: Bacteria; Bacillati; Bacillota; Clostridia; Eubacteriales; Thermincolaceae.